This 204-nucleotide long non-coding RNA is filed under the name Lathyrus oleraceus (garden pea). Its description in RNAcentral is "Pisum sativum (pea) long non-coding RNA (PSAT_LNC014877)". The record is from RNAcentral. Lineage: Eukaryota; Viridiplantae; Streptophyta; Magnoliopsida; Fabales; Fabaceae.
AAAAAUGGAGAUGAGAUAAAAAGCAUUUUCCUAAGUCAAAGACUCAUGCCAUAAUGAGAUACUCAAAGAAAGAAAAAUUGAGUGAAGAAAAAAAAAGAAAAAGAGUCAAGUUGGGCAACACCCCAUGAAAUAAAUUGUGUACAAAGAAUAGAAACAACAUGAAUGCCGAGUUUUAAACCCCUUGUCACCCAUUUCCUUGUAUUU